GAAAGUCCCCUCCUUCCUUCCCUUCCUGGUAAUUAUGCAGAGACAUACAUGAAUACUUAUUAUUGUUUGGGGCUUAAAGACAUACUUUGCCUUUUCUGCAUUUCUACUGAAAUAGUAAUUCUUUCAGGGUGAAGCUUCACAUAUGAAGUCUCAAUUCCAGCUGCCACAUCAUUGUGUAUAAAGGCAUCACUCCCUGUGUCCCUGUGGGAAUUUCUUUCCAAUCCCCAAAUUGCUGAGACAAGCACCCUUUCACACUCCAAGGAACUAUGAAUUCUCACUCCAUUUUUUGACACAUGGAGACUUCUCUUUCUUUUUGCAAGAUAUGCACAUUUAAGACAGUCCGUCUAUUGGAGGGAAAAAAAUUACCGAAACAUGAAAACCAUGAACCAAAACACGCACAUACCUGCAAAUGGAAUUGAUGAAGACACUGGAACAAUGCUCCAUCCCAAUUCAGAGGAACCAUCUAUUGGUUACAUAGCUCUAGACGUAUAUAGAAUUAAAAAAUAAAAUACUGGCACCGAUAUUCUUUGUAGCAUGUGAGAAGUCUAUAUAAUUUUUGGAGUGUUGUGUUUCCAUUUCAAUGAAAUUAAAAAAUAAUUCCCUUCAUUCUUACCUUAGACCACAUUACAAUAAAUACUUCCAAGAGAGUUUAGUGUUCA
RNAcentral lists this long non-coding RNA (659 nucleotides) under Vulpes vulpes (red fox). RNAcentral describes it as "lncRNA (ENSVVUG00000014155.1)". The record is from RNAcentral. Lineage: Eukaryota; Metazoa; Chordata; Mammalia; Carnivora; Canidae.